UUUAAGUUGCUGAGCUGGAUGGAUUUUUGUAUGCUUCAGGAAAUUCAAGCCAGGAUUUUAGAAAUAGCUAAUGAGGGCAUCAGUCCAAGUCCCCCCUUAAAUCCACAGGCCUCAUCAUACCAGCAACAGCGUCACCAUCAUAAUGACAAUGAGCAAAUGGCGUUAUGAUAAAGAAUCAGAGGGUGAAUGCCAUCUGAUUCCGGAGGUUUCUCCAUGCGUGUCAACACAGGAAAGGCCAUCACAGAGUUGGAUUGUUUCCUUCCAAAGGUAGAGGAGACCGGCUGAAUGGAGGCAUCUGGUUCAGCGGUUCAUCUCUGAGUGUCCAGACCACUGGCGUGUUGAAGAUGGAUGGAGUGUCCUGGACAGGGAUUUAAAGUCCCCCGAUUUCCAAUCACACAUUCCAGAGGGAUGGUUCUGCCUGAUGAAUGAUCUCUAUUGAGGAGAAGGAGUUAAAAGAAGCAUGUCAUUGCUCUCAUUUGAUGGUGUUUGUAUGUGCCAUGAUGGUGCCUACUUUCAUUUGGCACCAAAUGCUGCAGCCAACACCUUCGAUGGAGUGGUUUAUCAAAACAGAAUAAACCAUCAGCCGCUCUAGUGUAUUGGCAAUAUUCUGUAACUGAUGGUCAUUUGUGUACAAAAGUACUUGUUUUGAAGACUAAAAAUGGCCAAUCUGUGUCCUCCAUACUUGGAUUUAGUUGGUGUGAUGAAACACUCAUGAGGAGAUUUUACAGAAACUGCACUAAAAUUCAGAAUAAUACCUUGUUUUUUGACCUGAGGUGCAUUUUGAGAAAUGACAAAACAUGUUUUUUUUUUAGUACAGUUAGUAAGAAAUGAGAACAGCUGAAAGAAUGAGUCAAUUAAUCUAUUAGUUGAGCAACAGAAAAACAGAACAGAGAAAUUAAUCUGCCAAUAUUUUGAUGAUUGAUUAAUCGUUUAAACUAAAAUGACAAAAAAUAACUGGUUUCAUCUCCUCAAAUGUGAAUAUUUUCUGGUUUUCUUUGUCUUCUAUGAUAGUAAACUAAAUAUUUUGGCUUGUUGGUCAGACAAAAUAAGACAUUUUAAGAUGUUGAAAGGGGCUCUGGGAACAUGUUAUGGCCAUUUUGAGGUUGUUGUUUUUUUUGCUAUUUGCUGACACUCUAUUAGACCAAACAGUUGCGUAAUCAAGAAAAUAGUCAGGAGAUAAUAGUCAGUUGCAGCCCUAGAAAUAAUUUGUAAAGUGACUGAAAGAAAUGUCUAGCACCUGCUCAGAUGUAGACUCCAACUGUAACUUGCAUCAGCUUGUUUCAGUUCUGUAGUGAGUUCUGUUGAAAACAAAUCUGCUUCCUUUUCUACUGUUGGUGCAGGCUUCCUUGUUACUGUAUAUAUGUAAAUACAACCAGCCAGCUUCUAUCAAAGCAGCCAGGCAGGAGGAAUUCCCUCUAAAAAAAAACUUCGCCCUGGAUCAGCGCUUCUGAACAAAAAUGGCUCCCAUGCAUCACCCAUAUGGGGCCCUCUGUGCCGGAUGUACAGCAUUUGUGAACCUAAAGUGCCGUCACCAGUGUUUUUCUUUCACUGCAUCACACAUCCUCUGUUGUAUCACUUCAGUGAAAGUUUGAUCUUUUCAAUCAUAUUAAUAUAGGUGUUAUAUUUUCAUUCAUUAAUAGAUAUCACAGCAUCAAAAAGCUUUGCAGGAUAAGAAACUGAUGGCGUAUUAGAGAGAUUCAGUAGAUUCUGGAGUUAAUAUGCCAAGUAGAGCAUGUACUAAUCAGUGGCAGAGCUCACAUGCAGGAAGAAACAAAUGAUAAAACACAGCCGGAGGGGAAUGAUGACUUGUCACAGGGGCAUAGCCUGAAAUUCGGAGGCAUGUAACAGAAUAUGUUUCUCAGUCAUGUUAAAAUUUUAGUGGGCCCUCAGACAUGCCAUAGGUGUACCUUUGCUUGGCCCCUAGAAUUUACACUACCUCUUACACCACUAGCUUUGACACUGACUUAUCAUACAAUGCUAGAAAAGCAGUAGGAUUCACAUGCUGCUGUUUUUGAGCAUUGCCUUUAUUAGAUAGUAUGCAGUACAGAGCU
Siniperca chuatsi (mandarin fish) is the source of this 2051-nucleotide long non-coding RNA. RefSeq lists it as uncharacterized. Lineage: Eukaryota; Metazoa; Chordata; Actinopteri; Centrarchiformes; Sinipercidae. The record is from RefSeq and is a predicted model, not a curated record. The transcript is spliced from 3 exons.